CCUACGGGUGGCAGCAGUGAGGAAUAUUGGUCAAUGGGCGCGAGCCUGAACCAGCCAAGUAGCGUGAAGGAUGACUGCCCUACGGGUUGUAAACUUCUUUUAUAAAGGAAUAAAGUGAGGCACGUGUGCCUUUUUGUAUGUACUUUAUGAAUAAGGAUCGGCUAACUCCGUGCCAGCAGCCGCGGUAAUACGGAGGGUCCGAGCGUUAUCCGGAUUUAUUGGGUGUAACGGGAGCGUAGAUGGGUUGUUAAGUCAGUUGUGAAAGUUUGCGGCUCAACCGUAAAAUUGCAAUUGAUACUGGCAGUCUUUAGUACAGUUGCGGUAGGCGGCAUUCGUGGUGUCGCGGU
RNAcentral lists this ribosomal RNA (347 nucleotides) under uncultured bacterium. Its description in RNAcentral is "partial 16S ribosomal RNA". It matches the Rfam family "Bacterial small subunit ribosomal RNA", at positions 338 to 682 of the family's 1533-position model. The record is from RNAcentral.